Molecule: ribosomal RNA, 115 nt
Filed under: uncultured bacterium
Lineage: Bacteria
Description: partial 16S ribosomal RNA
Rfam family: Bacterial small subunit ribosomal RNA
Source: RNAcentral
CCGCCCGUCACACCAUGAGAGCUGUUUGUACCCAAAGUCAUCUUAGCCAACCUGAAAAGGAGGCGGAUGCCUAAGGUAUGUAUGGUGAUUGGGGUGAAGUCGUAACAAAGGUACC